Hippocampus zosterae (dwarf seahorse) is the source of this 701-nucleotide long non-coding RNA. RefSeq lists it as uncharacterized. Lineage: Eukaryota; Metazoa; Chordata; Actinopteri; Syngnathiformes; Syngnathidae. The record is from RefSeq and is a predicted model, not a curated record. The transcript is spliced from 3 exons.
CCUUCGACUUUCCUCUAAAGCUAAGAAGUUUGGAUCAACGAGAGAACCGCAAUGGUAAUUGGAGACCGUUAUCAAGAACAUCCAAUUAGUCGGGCACACUUGACACCUCUUUGUAACCAUACAAGCCAGCUAGAAUAUUCAGAAUCUUUUCCAUUGGUAUAAACUGGUAGUACUGGGUACUAUUUUGUACCUCAUUGGUGGGGGCUCCAAGCAGGACAAGCGUCUAUCAUACUGCAUAUCUGUCUAAAGUAAACCACUUUUAGUUAUUUUUUGAUGGCUCAUCAUUGACAUAUUGAGAAUUUGUGGCUAGAAAUAGCAAAAAUAAUAACAUAUGAGGCGGCCCGGUAGUCCAGUGGUUAGCACGUCGGCUUCACACUGCAGAGGUACCGGGUUCGAUUCCAGCUCUGGCCUCCCUGUGUGGAGUUUGCAUGUUCUCCCCGGGCCUGCGUGGGUUUUCUCCGGGUGCUCCGGUUUCCUCCCACAUUCCAAAAACAUGCGUGGCAGGCUGACUGAACACUCUAAAUUGUCCCUAGGUGUGAGUGUGAGUGCGAAUGGUUGUUCGUUUCUGUGUGCCCUGCGAUUGGCUGGCAACCGAUUCAGGGUGUCCCCCGCCUACUGCCCGAAGACAGCUGGGAUAGGCUCCAGCACCCCCCGCGACCCUAGUGAGGAUCAAGCGGCUCGGAAGAUGAAUGAAUGAAUGA